UCAAACUUGGUCAUUUAGAGGAAGUAAAAGUCGUAACAAGGUUUCCGUAGGUGAACCUGCGGAAGGAUCAUUAUCGAGUGAGGGUUCCUCUCAUGGGCCCGACCUCCCCACCCUGUGUCUACCACACCUUGUCGUUGCUUCGGCGAACCGGUUCGGAUGCCACGCUUCUCUCAAGGAGGCGAGGUCCCGACCGCCGGGGGUGCUUUCACCCCGGGAGAGCGUCCGCCGAUGGCCCAACCACAAACUUCUUUGUACCAAAACCGGUCGUCUAAAGAAUACUUGAUAUCAAUCAAAAAACAAAAACUUUCAACAACGGAUCUCUUGGUUCUGGCAUCGAUGAAGAACGCAGC
Molecule: unclassified non-coding RNA, 350 nt
Filed under: uncultured fungus
Lineage: Eukaryota; Fungi
Description: partial contains small subunit ribosomal RNA, internal transcribed spacer 1, and 5.8S ribosomal RNA
Rfam family: Eukaryotic small subunit ribosomal RNA (bases 1-73)
Source: RNAcentral